This 11323-nucleotide long non-coding RNA is filed under the name Pelobates cultripes (western spadefoot toad). The record is from RNAcentral. Lineage: Eukaryota; Metazoa; Chordata; Amphibia; Anura; Pelobatidae.
CAGAACUCCAUGAUGGAUCCCAGCUCUCAUAAAUUCUAUCACAAGGAUCACGUUGAUCCAGGCAAAUUAUAUAACACUUACGCUGGUGCCGAAGCAGAUAAGAAGCACACUGAUGAGCUUUUAUUAUUCCCUAUGAAGUUAAUUUUCAGUGAGGUAAAAUCAGGUAUGUUUUUAUUUCUGUUUUUCUAUUUAAAUAGCUUUUACUGUUUAAUGCCAGGGGCCAAAUUUAAUAUAGCAAAAGAGCAACAAUUCUGGGUUAAAGUGAUACAGCUAGAGCAAUUUAUAAAUAUAGAACAAUUUAUAAGAUAGUACAAUUUAUAUGGAAAUGGAAUAACCUGGCAGAAAAAAAGCAAAUAUGCCAGCAUUCUUAAAUCUCAGAAAACAUCUCUAUCCAACUAAUAUCAUAAAAAAAGCAACUGCACUCAUGCAAAUUAUAUAUAUUAUGAUUAUUAUUGGUAUUUAUAUAGCACCAACUAAUUCUGCAGAGCAUUACAAUGUUAUGACAUUACAAUACAUGAGACAUUUACACAGUGACUCAGGAACAAAAGCUAGAUGAGGACCCUGAUCAGACAAGCUUACAGUCUGGAUGAGGUGGGAUACAACAGGACAGCAAGGGUGACAGCCACCAAACAAGGUGGAAAAGUAGCAGAGCUGGAGGUGAGUGUGGAGUAAGCCUCUUUAGGAGAGCAAGACACAGACUUGGGUAAGUAUAGAUAGUUACUCUGGGAGUCCAUAAACAUUUCUGAACAGAUAUGGUUUGAGGGACUUCUUAAACAAUUGAAGACAAGGGGAGAGUCUGAUUGGAGUAUGCAGGCUGUUCCAAAAGAAGGUAGUCGCCCGCAAGAAGUCCUGCAAGCGUGAGUUAGCAGUAAGGGUGCGAGCUGCGGACAGGAGGUCACCGGCAGAGCGGGGAGGCCUAGAAGGGGCAUAUCUAUGAAUCUGGGAAGAAAUGUAAGAGGGGCUAGAGUUGGUUAGAGCUUUAUAGGUAAGGGUUAGUAUUUUGAAUUGAAACCUGUAUGAUACGGGAAGCCAGUGUAAGGAUUGACAGAAUGCACCUAUAAUUGCACCAUAUAUAUAUCUUAUUAUAUAUGUAACAAUGUAGUAUGCAGUCUUGGACAUAGAUGGAAGGAAGACAUUUCAGUGUGUUAAAAUAUAGUGGUUUAUAAAUGACCUUUGAGGAUUAACAUAAGAUACAAAGUUUAGAGGUAAUAGUGAAGUUUGUGUUUUUAAACUAAAUCUUGUUAUAAUUAAUCCAUUCACACUGGUACCCAUGUAUAUACAUUUUCCAUGGCAAGCACCCUGGAAUCAUUUAUACAUGAUUUUAAUGUUUUAAUUUAGUAUGCGUAGAGGCUGGACACAGAAAAACUGCGUUCUCACUAUCAUUCCUCAAUACUCACCCUGCCAGUCUCCCCUCACUCUGUCACGCUCGCCAAACUUUGACAAACUCACCCCCACAACAUUGUUUUACUCAGCAGCUGUAACACUGUCACGGUCACUCCCCAAACCCUGUUACACUAACCCUCUAUCACCCUGCCUCACUCACCCUGUCAUACAUACCCCCUCAAAUGGUCACACUCACAACCCAACUCUGUCAUACUCAACCCCUAUCUUGUUUCACUCUCCCCAUUUACCCAAGUACACUCAUCUACUUACUUACCCCCAAACCCGUUGCACAUGCCUUCUUACCCUGCCAUAGUCAUCCUAUCAUACUAUGUUCCUUGCCAUGUCACACUCAUGCUGACACCUCUAAAGAAAGUCAUCCUCAUAAACACACAGUCACCUAUCUCAAGCAUCCCCCAUUGUACAGUGCUACGGAAUCUGAUGGCGCUAUAUAAAGAAUAAAAUAACAAAAAUAAUACUUGUACAUUAUGCUAACUUUAGUGUACCGAUAAUCUUAAUUUUAUUAAUGACAGGAGGCGAGUAUUUGCUUAAGUCUUUCUUUACUUAAGCUUCACAGCGGCACUUUUUUACUUAGUAACAGGGUAACCAAUCAGAAAAAAGAGAUAACAAGGUAUAAGAGUCCCUCCCUGUGAUGUCACUUCCUCUUUCUGGCUGCGAAACAAAUAGGAACAGGAACUGCAACUGAACCGGAUGAGGAAUUCAGGAUGCCAGAUGAGAAAGCAAAUGCUAGAGAGGGAACAGGAACAUAAGCAUGUCUUCUUAGAGAGCUGAGAUGAUGCUUGAGAUGGAACGGCAACUGAACUUGUCUUCAUGAGGGGCUUUAUGCUGAAACGAGAAAGCAGAGUCGAAACCAAGGAUUAAUCCGAGAAUUGGACUUAUAAAAUAUGACAUUCGGUAUUUAGAAAAUCCCGUCUAAAGCCCGCCUCCUACGAAGUGUAAACUAUCCACCCCUAGAGAGAAACCCUUAGCCCACCCACGGUAGAGGUACAUAGUGUAUGUAUUUAGUCUAGAUGAACUUACCUAGAUAGGUAACCUUAGGGAGGGGAAAAAGAAACGAGAGUGAAGGGUGGGAAAUACUCGCCUCCUGUCAUUAAUAAAAUUAAGAUUAUCGGUACACUAAAGUUAGCAUAAUCUACAAUUUUAUAUCAUGACAGGAGGCUUCGUAUUUGCUGUUUUAACGCUCCCCAAGAAGGGCUAAGGAAGCGUGCACAGCCGGACGAAAAUAGAAGUUGCGGAAAGUCUGCUGAGUGGAGAAUGUCCCGAAGUGAGGCUCCAGCGCUGAAAGCUCCCGAUGCCGCCGCUCCCCUGAUGGAGUGGGCUCCGAAGGAGGCCUCAAUCCCAGCAAGGGAGAGCAACCACCUAACCCAUCGGGCAAGGGUUAUGGUUGACACCGGAUUAUGUGGUCGGACGUAGGAGAUCAAUAGUUGGCUGGAGGAGGUUGGACGAAGAGAGGAGGUGAGUAGUAAAUAAUGAGAGAGAAGUGAUACCACACACAAUUUUGCAUGGUUAGGGAAAUAAGGGUAAAACACCGAAGAAGAGUUUGAUUUUGUCCGUCUGGACACGGAAAAGGUGACACCUUCUGGGGAAAAAUUGAUAGCGUCAUGGUCAAAUGCUCGAACAUCUGACACUCGUCGGAAGGAUACUAAGCAGAGUAGCAGGGUGAAUUUUGCCGAGAGUUGACGGAAGGUUAGAUCUUCGUUGUUCAGCCAGGUUUCAAGGAAACAAAUCAUGACAUUAACAUCCCAUAGAUGGGAGUAUUUUGGUGUUGGGGGGCGAGCCAGUUUGAUGCCCCUCAAUAGUCUGCAAACCAGCAGGUCCUGGCCCGCUGGAAUUCCGUGUAGAGGGACAUGGGCUGCCGAGAUUGCUGACCGGGCCACGUUGAUGGACCGGUAUGUACGGCCUAAGUCGAACAGGUGCGAGAGGAAAUUCAGUAUGAACUGUCUAGGGGCUGUAAGGGGAUCGGUAUUCCGUUCCAUGCACCAAUUGCACCAAGUACUCCAGGAAGAAAGGUAGCAUCUUCUGGUUCCAGGAGCCCAGGAAUCCCAGAGAAGUUCUUUAGAUCUCUGAGAUAAUUCUCCGAAAUUCCAGGAUCCCCUGAAAGAGUCCAAGCCACUAAUUGGAGAUGACCUUGCAUUAUCAUCGGAUGAGGGUUUCCUUGAGGGUCCUCUAACAGGUUGGGCCAUAGAGGUAGAAGGAGGGGAUGUUGGCAGGAGAGGUCCAGGAGAUCUGGGAACCAUGCUUGGCCCUGCCAGAGCGGGGUGAGUAGUAUCAGUGUGACCUGUUGUCUGCGAAUCUGAAGAAGGGUUCUUGGGAUAAUCGCAAACGGAGGGAAGGCAUAGGCUCCCGUCGUCGGCCAUUUCUGAAGAAAGGCAUCUACUGCCGAACAUUCCGGGUCUGGUAGCCAGCUGAAGAAGCUUGGGACUUGAAAAUUCGUCCAGGAGGCGAAAAGGUCCAGAGUAAACGUGCCCCUGAGUUUGGAGACGUGGAGGAAGACUGACCUGUGUAAGCGCCAGUCGCUGCCGUCUCUCCAAUGUCGGGAGAACCAAUCGGCGGUGGUGUUCAUCUCCCCCGGGAGGUAUUCUGCCCGGAGUGUUAUGUUGCGCUGGAAGCAAAAAUUGUAGAUGUCCUUUGUCACCUCGGACAGGGUGUGAGAUCUGGCCCCGCCCAAUUUGUUGAUGUAUUGAACGGCCAAGAUAUUGUCCAUUCAGAGGAGAAUACAACAGUCUGAGAGAUGAUUGGCCAGACUGCGGAUUGCAAAUGAUCCUGCGAUUAAUUCUAGACAGUUGAUGUGGAGAGAGUGUUCUGCAUCGGUCCAUGGUCCCCCGGUGGAAGUUGUAUGACAAGUUGCGCCCCAGCCUUGGAGGCUCGCGUCUGAUUCCACCACAAAGUCCGGAGUGGGACCAAAAAUUGCUUUGCCGUUCCAGGCAGACAUGUGGCGAAGCCACCAGUAGAGUUCCUCCCUCACCUCGGUAGUGAUCGGGACCCUUUGGUCAUAUGAUGGAUGGGUCUGGAGGAAUUGAGCCUUCAAGCGUUGCAUGGCCCGAUAAUGGAGGGGACCUGGGUAGAUUGCUUGAAUGGAGGCAGAAAGCAGGCCUAUAAUCCGAGCUAAACCUCGGAGAGGUAGAUCCACUUGACGAAGCGUCUUGCGCAGUUCCUUCCUGAUCGCGGUUAACUUGGACGGCGGCAGGCGGAGAACACAGGUGGAGGAGUCGAUCUCGAAGCCGAGAAACUGUAUGAUUUGGGAUGGAGUCAGCGAGGAUUUUUCCUUGUUGAUGACGAAUCCCAAGGAUUCUAUCAAUGAGGAUGUGUAGUUCAUUUGUGAUUGCAGCCUGGAGGUGUCGUCGCAGAGUAGUAAAAGGUCGUCGAGGUAGAUUAAGCAGCGAAAACUCCUUGCUCGAAGAUGUGCGAUGACUGGCUUGAGCAGUUUGGUGAAGCACCAGGGAGCGGAACUCAGGCCGAAUGGAAGGCAGGUGAAUUGUAAGAUCCGGUGGUGCCAGGGGAAGCGGAGGAAACGUCGACUGGAUGGAUGUACUGGCACGGAGAGGUAAGCAUCCUUGAGGUCGAGUCGGGUGAACCAAUCGCCUGGUCAGAGAAUGUCUCUGAGGAGAUGUAUCCCUUCCAUUUUGAAAUGCCGGUAUAUCACGAAGGUAUUCAAUUGGCGAAGGUUGAUUACCGGGCGGAAUUCUCCCGAUUUCUUUUUGACCAGCAAUAUGGAACUUAGAAAGCCUUCGUCGUGUAGAGCGGGUUGAAUCGUUCCUUUUGUUAGCAAGGAACGUAGUUCUGAAUCGAGGAGGAGCCAUUGAGAUUUUGACAUUAUCGGGUAAUGUGAAGGACCUGUUUGAGUAGGGAUAGAAUAAAACUCUAUGAAAUAACCCUGAACCGUGUUUAGAACCCAUGUAUCUGAAGACAGCGUCUUCCACAUAUCCACACAAUGUAACAACCUGCCCGCAUGAGAAACUGUAGAGAGGUGAAAAGUAGGAAAUCUCACCUGUUGGGUAUCUGUAGCGUCCACGGGCUCUACCUCCUCUUCCCCUAUCUGACCUUUGGGUGUAGAAACCUCUAGAUUGAUAGUUGGGGAAGAAUGAUGAAGUGGGGGUUCUUUGGCGUUGGUUUGUAGGCCAGAAGCGGCUGACUGUAUGACCCCUUGGAUGGCCAGCCCUGCCAAAAACCCGAGAGGGUUGUUGGUGGAAUACUCUUCUCAUGGAUGAUUGCGCCUUGUUCAGGGUGGCGUAUAAAUUUACAUGCUUGUGUAAUUCUUUAAUAUAGGGUUCUCCAAAUAAUAGACCCUUGGCCUUGGGGCCCAACUCUUUGGUCCCCAGGUCGGCUAGUUUGGCAUCCAUACGCAGCAGCACUGCUUUUCUACGCUCAGUAGAGAGGGAUGUAUUUGCAUUGCCCAGCAGGCAAAUGGAGCGUAGUGCCCAUUCUCUGAUCACAGAUGGGUGUAAAGGGCCCUCGUUAGUGAGGGCUUCAUCAGCCAGUAGUAGAAUUCUUGCCAAGGGCCCUAGGACAUCCAACAUCCGGUCCUGGGUGAGGCGUAGGCUGCGUUCAAUGCCCUUUUUAGGGUCACGGCCAGAUCUGGCUAAAUAUGUGUAGAGCAGUGAAUCAAACUCCAGGGUCAUAGCGACCUUGUCCGGCAAGGUGGGCCUAGGGCAUUCAGCUCUUAGGCAUUUGCGGACCCCCCGGUCUAGGGGUCUCCUUAUCCAGAAAUAGAUAUAUUGUGAAAGGUGAUUUGUGUCACGAUUCGGGGAACCCAACAUGCUGACACACACACACACACACACAAAAGGUGCCGUACCGGACCUUAGAGUGGCCGGGCUAAGCACACACAGAAUAGUUAGGAGACAAGCCGAAUAAGGGGAACCAGAAGACAGAAUAACGUGAAACAAGCCGAGGUCAAAGGGUAGGAGAAAGUCACAGAGUCAGAUAAACAAGCCAGAGAGUACGUAACCAGAAGCACAAGGUAAGUAGCAAUACUAGAAAGCAAAGACCACAACAGGGCAGGGAGGAACAGGAAAGGUAAGUAUUUAAACCAUAAGGUUAAUUCUGAUUGGAUAAUUUCCAAUCAGAAUUAACAAUCACACGUGGGAGAUAUCUAGACCUCCCACUGUGAUUAAGGCACUGUGCCUUUAAUGCCGGGUCAGGUGACUGACCCCGGCGUGUAUAAACCUGGGCGGUCUCCCAGCGUGCAGCGUCAUGCAUGCUGCCGCUGGGGGACGUGGAGGAAACGGCGGGCGGCAUCCGAGGCUGGAAGGAUGCCGCUCGCCGUACCCACGAGGUGGAGGGGACCGUGGACGGCUGGAGGGUGAGUACUGCGAGCGGAGUGCAGCCUCCCCUCCCAGCCGCCCGCGGGAUCCCGACAAUUUGGGAGUGACCAUUCUGAAGAUCGAGGGUAUCUGAUCUGUCGUGGGUCAAAUAGGGGUUCACCAAGCGUAUCCAGAAAGGCUUCGGGUACUGAAUCCUCCGUAGUGGGGUCUCCCGUGAUAUCUUGAGGGAAAGGUGCUUCUAUGAAAGAUGCCUCAGGCCAGUCUUCUUCGUCUUCUAAAGAGUGGCCAGCUUGCCAUUCAUCUAGAAUGGCCAAUGGGUGUGAGUCGAAAGAGUCGUCUUCCUCCUCCGACAAGGUAGGCUGUAUGGGAUGUUUUUCCUUGGCGUCCGCUUGUUUUGGGCGUUUUGCCGGUUCUUUCCCUUUGCGUUUGAGUGAUUCUGGCCCAUCCCCUUUCCAAUAUCGUUUAUUGAGUUUGGAAGGGUUCCUUCUUGUAGAAUCAGAAUUAUUCGCCUCUUCGUCAGGGUGCGGGGGCUCAGAAAUUUUGGUAUCUUUGGGCUCAAUGGGCAGCACCCGAGCCAGGGUCUUUUCUAGUGAAGCGGCAACAGCCGCGUUUAUAAUCGUUUGCAGAUUUUGGUCUUGGUUUGAAACCUCCAUAGCAACAGUGUUGGUACCUAUGGGGCAGAAUAGGCCAGCAUUAGAAUGUAUUUUAGGGCCGUCUUGUAUAUCAAAAGCGAAAAUUCACCAGAACUGAAUUACAGAGAGAAGUAUCUCUGUGAAAAACAAAUUCUGCUCUGUGGGAAAUAUUGUCCUGAGAAACAUAAGUUAGUGAACUUAUAUAUGUGUAUCUUGUAAGAUUUUUGUACUGCCGAUUAACAAUUAAAAUGGCCGCCGUGCGGCUAGAAUGGUCGCCGAUCGCGGCUCCAACAAAAUGGCCACCGCGAUCUCGCGCAUUCGCACAAGGUGCAAACGGCCGUUCGGAUCUCGCAGCGAUGCGCGAGAUCCAAGAUGGCCGCCGUGCGCACUCAGGGCCGAUGGAGGCGUACUCCACAGCCCAAAAGCCCAGGAAAAACGGGGCAAAAUAUGCCGACCGCAACCUGGACCAAUAAAAAGUAAGAGACACAAUAAAAAUGUAUAGAAAAAUGAAAAAGAACGUAAGGGACAGUACAAAAGGAAUAAAAGGAGAACAUUAGGCAGUAAUAGAGAAUAAGUUAAGAGAAAACUUUAGAAAGAUAGCUAAGGUGGGACAAACACCUUAGAAAAUAGGAAAAUAAGUAUAUAGCUAAAGUAUGGGAAACAUAGCUAAGAAAAAACAAAGAUUAAAUAAACAAGUUAGAAUAAACAGGAUAGUAAAUAACCCACAGAAAGUAAGAGGCAGUGGCACUCUGACCUGUACUGGUGUGAAGCAGCAAAGAAAGAGGAAGUGACAUCACAGGGAGGGACUCUUAUACCUUGUUAUCUCUUUUUUCUGAUUGGUUACCCUGUUACUAAGUAAAAAAGUGCUGCUGUGAAGCUUAAGUAAAGAAAGACUUAAGCAAAUACGAAGCCUCCUGUCAUGAUAUAAAAUUAAACGCAACACACCACAAGCAUCUUCUCUACACACUUAUCCUCUCAGACACAGAAAUGCUCACAGAGAUAUACAUUUACAAACAAGGAUACUUACUCUCAGACACACACUUAGUAAGAAUGCACACAGUCAGAUAAACCUUUUGAAAAAACACACAAGGUGACUAAAUGCCCAUAUUUGUCAAUAUGUGUGUGUCUUUGCAUCAAUGUGUAUGUGUAUCAGAGUUUGUAUAUAUGUGUGCAUGCAUCCCAGUGUGUAUGUGUGCAUGUAUCAUUGUGUAAGUGUAUUAGUGUGUGUGUCCAUGGCUGCAAUACAAGUUUGAUAUGAUAUGGCCAAUGCCAUGGUAAAGUGGCAACAUAUAUAAUAUACAUAUUCAAUACAUAGGACAACAUAUGUAUGUCAAUGUCACAUAUUCUGAAAUGUUAGUUAUUUUGAACAAUGUAUUCUUAUCUGCACCUUCUCUAUUUGGUAUAUGAUUUGAAAAAGAGUUUUUCUGUCUAAAAAAUUGUUACAUGGCAUAAUGUGCUAUCUAUGCAUACAGAAAUUAAAAACACAUAUACAAAUUACUUUCCAGGACCCCCACAUUCUUGGAUUCUGUGGGGGUUUUCUCUUUUUUUUUUUUGCAAACCACUUGGUAGUAAAGGGGUUUAAGCAAAAAAAUAAACAUUAACACAGGUUGCUGUUGCCUUUAUUCUGUUUCAUUGUGUCUGGGGAAUUUUCAAGAUAAAUUACUUCGUUAGGAGACCAGAAUAUCACUACAGUUAAUUAAAAAUUCCUUUUUAUUUUUUUCUUUCUCCAUCAUAUGGUCAUCAUAAAUCUGGUGGAUUAGCUAAACUAGUGUACCAGGUCACUUAACAUUACUUACCCAAAAUGAAUAUAUACAUAUAUACGUAUAUAGGUAGGUACAUAAGCAUCUCAGUAUGUGGGUAGAGGGUUCUAUCCCUUUUUUUAUAUAAUAUUCUCAAAUAUAUAGUAACCUAGUCACACAAUGCACAAUGGGGGAUUCGUUUUUGGUUAAGGAGCAGUAAUAGGACUGACAUUUAAAAAUGUAGGCAAAAAUUGUUUUAAAAAAAUAUAUAUUUUUUUAUUUGUAUUUUUUUUUUUUUACAUUUUAUUAUUUUUAUUUCCAACUUGUUCUUCUCCAGGUCGUCUUAGAGGAAGCACCUUGAUUGACCUUUCUACUGGCCCUAUUAUUUUCCAGUUGUUACCACUUUGUAAAUACUUCAAAGACAUCACUAUUCUAGAGCUUAAUGAACACUGUCGAAAGGUGCUGCAGAAAUGGCUGAAUAAAGAAGAAGAUGCCUUGGAUUUUUCUCAUGCUGCAAAGAUUGUUGCCGAACUUGAAGGAAACAGGUGAACCAUCUUUUCAUGGAUCCAAUGUAUUUCUGUGAGUGAUAAAUAAUGGAAAGUAGCAAUUAUAGCAAUAAAAUUAUAGCUACUGAUAAAUGUAGGUAGUAAUAUUUAUGAGAACCAAGAAAAGAGAAGAGGAAUAACUUGUAAGGUCCAUAUUACAGUGAGGGAAAAAGUAUUUGAUCCCGUGCUGAUUUUGAACGUUUGCCUACCGACAAAGAAAUGAUCAGUCUAGAAUUUUAAUGGUAGGUGUAUUAACAGUGAGAGACAGAAUAACAAAACAAAAUGACAUUUGCAUGUAAAUGGGUAAGAUAAGUAUUUGAUCCUCUAUCAAUCAGCAAGAUUUCUGGCUCCCAGGUGUCUUUUAUACAGGUAACGAGCAGAGAUUAGGAGCACUCUCUUAAAAGGACCUGUAUAAAAGACACCUGGGAGGCAGAAAUCUUGCUGAUUGAUACGGGAUCAAAUUCUCAUUUCACUCAUUGGCAUGCGUUUUUCUAGAUUUUUUUUUUUGUUUUGCUAUUCUGUCUCUCACUGUUAAAGGACCACUAUAGUGCCAGGAAAACAUACUCGUUUUCCUGGCACUAUAGUGCCCUGAGGGUGCCCCCACCCUCAAAGUCCCCCUCCCGCCGGGCUCUGGGGAGAGGAAUGGGUUAAACUUACCUCUUUCUCCAGCGCUGGGCGGGGAGCUCUCCUCCUCCUCUCCUCUGUCUUCUCUUCCUCUUCGGCUGAAUGCGCAUGCGUGGCAAGAGCCGCGCGCGCAUUCAGCCAGUCCAUAGAAAAAAGCAUUCACAAUGCUUUCCUAUGGACACUGGCAUCUUCUCACUGUGAAAAUCACAGUGAGAAUCACGCAAGCGCCUCUAGCGGCUGUCAGUGAGACAGCCACUAGAGGAUUUGAUGGCUGGAUUAACCUAUUUAUAAACAUAGCAGUUUCUCUGAAACUGCUAUGUUUAUAAAAAAAAAGGGUUAAUCCUAGAUGGACCAGGCACCCAGACCACUUCAUUAAGCGGAAGCGGUCUGGGUGCCUAUAGUGGUCCUUUAAAAUACACCUACCAUUAAAAUUAUAGACUGUUCAUUUCUUUGUCAGUAGGCAAACGUUCAAUACCAGGAGGGUAUCAAAUACUUUUUUUCCCCUCACUAUAUAUAUCACAUGCCAUAAAAUUGUGUUAUUAUAUUUUACAGUGAGAAGUGGGUUGAAAAGGAAGAUGAUCUAAGAAGAUGUAUUAAAGGCAUAUUGCCAUGUGAUUUUACCAAAGAAAACCCAACUGACCCUGUCGUGCUGCCAAAAGCAGAUUGUGUGAUUAGCAUGCUUGUGCUGGGUUUAAUUUCAAAAGACCCAGACAGUUACCAUCAUAAUCUAAAGAUAAUGUCAUCUAUGCUUAAAUUAGGAGGGCGUCUUUUACUGAUUGGGGCAUUUAAUGCAUCACAUUUUAAGAUUAGUGGGAAUGCAUAUCAUCUCUUAAAUUACAAUGAACAGGAUCUAAGAAAAGCUCUGAAAGAUUGCGGUUUUUCUAUUGAACGGAUGGAAGUGAUGGAAAGCAAAAUACGCAGUGAUAUGUUAUGUUAUAAUCACAUUUUUUAUGCUUGUGCUGUUAAAAACAAAGAGACUUAAACCAGUUUAUCUCUAAAUAGUUGCAUAGUAAUGAUGUUCUUUGAGGGUGUUGGGUGGAUUUACCCUCAUAGUCCAAUCUGGAUAAAUCAAAUUGUAUUUAUUCACAUAGUAAAGUAAUAUUGCAUUGUUACAUUGC